Molecule: long non-coding RNA, 1139 nt
Filed under: Monodelphis domestica (gray short-tailed opossum)
Lineage: Eukaryota; Metazoa; Chordata; Mammalia; Didelphimorphia; Didelphidae
Description: lncRNA (ENSMODG00000042700.1)
Source: RNAcentral
AUGAUACAGUUUGUCGAUGAAGACAAACACUUUCAUGCGGUUACAUUCUGCUUGAUUUCCUUUGAGUGUUCAGGAGAAAAUUCCCUAUCGCUGCAAAUCAUACAGAGCUGGGCCAGAAGAUCAUGUCGUUAUACAAAGCUUCAAAGUGUAUGCCUUCGAGAUGAGCUCCAAUGGUACGUUCUAAAUUCUGCUAUCAUCCCUCACACAAAUAUCACAUAUCCAUGCCAGAGGCCCCCAGGUACAGGAAUAUUUUACAUUCCCCAAGCACCUGGGAACGUGGGGCUGAUGAGGAAAGGCCAAUUUAAGUUACUGAAAACUAAAUUGGAGAGCACCUUUAGAGAAAAAUGGAUCUUUAUUCUGUAUAGAUAAUAAGUGCUGUAAAAGUGCAAAGAAGGGGGACAUCAGUAGGUGCUGGAACAAUCAGGGAAGGCUCCCCAGAGGAGCUAAGAACUACCAGAAGGGACUUCCAGUGAUCAUCAGACCCAGAGAUUGGGAAUCUUUUAAGGGGAAAAAGCCAUUUUGGCAUAAUAAUUUUAGGAUGUAACUUUUUUUUGAAGAGCCACAUGAUAGUUUAUAUUUUUUUCUCAAUUAAUACCAGAAAGAUUUUACACAAACUUCAUCUGUACUAGUUUAUACAUUGUUAUUAUUUCAUUUAAUUUAUACAAGUUUAUACAACACAAUAGAAGAUGAAAUAAUUAUUUAUUGUCUUCCAGAAAGCCCUUAUUACAAUACACAUGUGUGGCCCAAGAUCUGGAGGGAGGACCCUGAGAAACUCUCAUAGUCUUCUCCCAUUAGCACAUUAGUGCUCAUAAACAAUGAGUUUAUCAGAUUAGCUAUGUGCCACCUUGAAAGGCAGGGAGGCCUUGAAGGGAUGAGGUAUAGGGCAGAAGGCAGUGGAGGUGAGAGGCGAAAGGGAGGGCAUUUGACAAAUAGGGGCAGCAUGGGAGAAAAAAGGAGGGUUGACAAAUAGGGUCAAAGACUAAGAGGAGGGUGUGUUCUUUGGGCCAUAGGAAGGGGGUUGGAAAGGAGUAUAACAGGUCUAGGGCAGAGUCCAUCUUCCUCCAUGACAAGCAUUUGUUGUUUCUAGACCCAAAGAAGUUUGUUCAUUUAAGAAAUAAAUCAAGACAGAGAUAGACUCA